GGGGGCGAUCAGGCUUCGACUACGAGCAUGACGGUGGGGUAAGCAAGCCGUGGUUGGACGAAUGGCCACGUUAAAAAUCGCCCAAACUAUUCAGUUGCCAAAAACUCUGAAUAUUCUCCGGUAGCCUUGGCCGCUUAGGCGGUCGACGCACUUAAAUCGGAUGCGGCCCCCCCAUGCAUGAUAAGGGGUCACCGUAUCAUAAAUCAUGCUCAGCCAAAUCCGGACUCCCGGGACGGUGCGGCGAAAUUUACCGGGAUGGCGCCGGGUGAGGCCGCUGCAGCCAACACCCCGGAGCGAGAUGAAAAACAGCAGCUAAGCUUGUAGAAAUCCUCGCAGCCACUCGAUAGGACGCGGGUUCGAUUCCCGCCGCCUCCACCU
Molecule: transfer-messenger RNA, 378 nt
Filed under: SAR324 cluster bacterium
Lineage: Bacteria; Deltaproteobacteria
Rfam family: transfer-messenger RNA
About the family: Bacterial tmRNA, also known as 10Sa RNA or SsrA, is named for its dual tRNA and mRNA-like properties. Its role is to liberate the mRNA from a stalled ribosome.
Source: RNAcentral